Long non-coding RNA from Spea bombifrons (plains spadefoot toad), 913 nucleotides. RefSeq lists it as uncharacterized. The transcript is spliced from 2 exons. Lineage: Eukaryota; Metazoa; Chordata; Amphibia; Anura; Pelobatidae. The record is from RefSeq and is a predicted model, not a curated record.
GUUCUGCACAUUUUAGGCCUGAAUGCAACUUGAGUGCUAGGAACAUAUGGUAUCAAUUAAGUGACGUAGCUUAGAGGGUCUUGGAAUGCCGGUGUAUCAUAUUACUGUUCCAAUAGGAUUCCGUUACGUAUACCCGAACCAAAUGUAAAGGGGUAUAAAUUGGCAUGACUACAAGGACAAGCUCUCUUUCCACGCUCUCAUCUUCAUCUCACCAAGAUACUAAGCCUACAGUACCUUUUAUCAACAUUUGUUCCAGCAUUGGUAUUGUAUGAAUUGAUAAUUUGUCAUCGAAUAAACCUAAUUAAUAGACUUUGAAGCUGUGGUCUUGAUUGCUGUUUGAUCACUGGAGAAGCUUAGAUAUUCAAGACAAAGAAUAUUCUAACAAAUUGACGAGCCAGCCAGUCUUUAGUCAGUUUUCUACGGCGAGCCUUUACUGCACGUUUGUUUUUUACUUUUCCUCUUCCGACAAAGGGGGGAUAGUGUGCAGUUGUCUGAAGAGAUCAAAGAGAUCCUCUGACUAAAAACAAAAAAACCUAGCAGUGUGAUCAGAAGAAAGUGUAAUUCGACACUACCAGACCAUUACCAGACCACGUGGUGAGAAGGAAGAGCAUUCCAGAACCGUGCAUCGUCCUGAGAGCAGAUUGAGCAAGCAACUGAUCUACGGUUGUAUGUAAGAAUCGAAUGGACAAUGCAAAUCAUUAAAAAGUCCAUCAUGGCAAAGAUACCUGACAUUCAAGAAGAGACAAUCCUUUUUGUUUCUAGCAGUUCUGACGGUGACCAUACUGAUGAUUGACGGUUCUAAGGAAGAUCUACAGAGUUAAGAAGAUCUACAGAUUUGACAACCAAUGUAUAGCCAAUUUAACAAUACUCAAGGGUUCCCAGACAUAAUUAAGAAGAAAAGAGAAAUUGAUGA